Molecule: ribosomal RNA, 279 nt
Filed under: uncultured bacterium
Lineage: Bacteria
Description: partial 16S ribosomal RNA
Rfam family: Bacterial small subunit ribosomal RNA
Source: RNAcentral
UGCCAGCCGCCGCGGUAAUACGUAGGGUGCGAGCGUUAAUCGGAAUUACUGGGCGUAAAGCGUGCGUAGGUGGUCUUGUAAGUCAGAUGUGAAAUCCCCGGGCUCAACCUGGGAACUGCGUUUGAAACUACAAGGCUAGAGUGUGGCAGAGGGGGGUGGAAUUCCGCGUGUAGCAGUGAAAUGCGUAGAGAUGUGGAGGAACACCGAUGGCGAAGGCAGCCCCCUGGGUCAACACUGACGCUCAGGCACGAAGGCGUGGGUAGCGAACGGGAUUAGAUA